This 60-nucleotide ribosomal RNA is filed under the name Staphylococcus aureus. RNAcentral describes it as "partial 16S ribosomal RNA". The record is from RNAcentral. Lineage: Bacteria; Bacillati; Bacillota; Bacilli; Caryophanales; Staphylococcaceae.
AAUUUUUAUGGAGAGUUUGAUCCUGGCUCAGGAUGAACGCUGGCGGCGUGCCUAGUACAU